RNAcentral lists this long non-coding RNA (223 nucleotides) under Nicotiana benthamiana. RNAcentral describes it as "long non-coding RNA (NBEN_LNC026027)". The record is from RNAcentral. Lineage: Eukaryota; Viridiplantae; Streptophyta; Magnoliopsida; Solanales; Solanaceae.
ACGAGGCUAGACAUGACCUACCACAAAUGACCUGUACAGAUAUAUGUCCAAUAACAGGAAGUACACGAAUUUAAACAACUAAGAAGGAGGGGAGCAUACUAUAGGGUAUGACAGUUUAAAUAUAGAAAUGAUCGGAUAAGAAGUAAAGCCGUACAACACUAACUGAUAAGGAAAAACAUAGGAGAGCCCUACAUACAAAAACAAUAUACUUUAUCCAUACUCC